GACGAACGCUGGCGGCGUGCUUUACACAUGCAAGUCGAGCGAUGAGAUCCCUUCGGGGAAGGAUUAGCGGCGAACGGGUGAGGAACACGUGAGGAAUCUGCCUUCAACACUGGGAUAACUCCGGGAAACCGGGGCUAAUACCGGAUACGAGACCUGCAGGCAUCUGCGGGUCUGGAAAGUUUUUCGGUUGAAGAUGACCUCGCGGCCUAUCAGCUUGUUGGUGAGGUAAUGGCUCACCAAGGCGACGACGGGUAGCCGGCCUGGGAGGGCGACCGGCCACACUGGGACUGAGACACGGCCCAGACUCCUACGGGAGGCAGCAGUGGGGAAUAUUGGGCAAUGGAGGGAACUCUGACCCAGCGACGCCGCGUGCGGGAUGAAGGCCUUCGGGUUGUAAACCGCUUUCAGCAAGGAAGAAGCGAAAGUGACGGUACUUGCAGAAGAAGCACCGGCUAACUAUGUGCCAGCAGCCGCGGUAAUACAUAGGGUGCAAGCGUUGUCCGGAAUUAUUGGGCGUAAAGAGCUCGUAGGUGGUUCGUCACGUCGGAUGUGAAAAUCUGGGGCUUAACCCCAGACCUGCAUUCGAUACGGGCGAGCUAGAGUGUGGUAGGGGAGACUGGAAUUCCUGGUGUAGCGGUGGAAUGCGCAGAUAUCAGGAGGAACACCAAUGGCGAAGGCAGGUCUCUGGGCCAUUACUGACACUGAGGAGCGAAAGCGUGGGGAGCGAACAGGAUUAGAUACCCUGGUAGUCCACGCCGUAAACGGUGGGCACUAGUUGUGGGAACCUUCCACGGUUUCUGCGACGCAGCUAACGCAUUAAGUGCCCCGCCUGGGGAGUACGAUCGCAAGAUUA
Molecule: ribosomal RNA, 853 nt
Filed under: uncultured bacterium
Lineage: Bacteria
Description: bacterial SSU rRNA
Rfam family: Bacterial small subunit ribosomal RNA
Source: RNAcentral